Molecule: ribosomal RNA, 510 nt
Filed under: marine bacterium B250-15a
Lineage: Bacteria
Description: SSU rRNA
Rfam family: Bacterial small subunit ribosomal RNA
Source: RNAcentral
AGAGUUUGAUCAUGGCUCAGGAUGAACGCUGGCGGCGUGCCUAAUACAUGCAAGUCGAGCGCGAGAAUGAGGAGCUUGCUCCUAUGAUCGAGCGGCGGACGGGUGAGUAACACGUAGGCAACCUACCCUUGAGAUUGGGAUAACUACCGGAAACGGUAGCUAAUACCGGAUACGACUUUUCCACAUAAGUGGAAUGGUUAAAAGGCGGAUUUAUCUGCCGCUCAUGGAUGGGCCUGCGGUGCAUUAGCUAGUUGGUGAGGUAGUGGCUCACCAAGGCGACGAUGCAUAGCCGACCUGAGAGGGUGAUCGGCCACACUGGGACUGAGACACGGCCCAGACUCCUACGGGAGGCAGCAGUAGGGAAUCUUCCGCAAUGGACGAAAGUCUGACGGAGCAACGCCGCGUGAGUGAUGAAGGGUUUCGGCUCGUAAAACUCUGUUGUUAAGGAAGAACACUUGAGGUAGUAACUGGCCUUGAGAUGACGGUACUUAACCAGAAAGCCACGGCUAA